Non-coding RNA from Manis javanica (Malayan pangolin), 1599 nucleotides. NCBI's taxonomy places the organism in Eukaryota, Metazoa, Chordata, Mammalia, Pholidota, Manidae. The record is from RefSeq and is a predicted model, not a curated record.
GGGGCGCCCUCGCUUUGUUUCACAACUUCUAAAGAAAGGAAAUUGUAUGAGAGGACAGAUUCUGACUUUCUCAGGAAGGGAGAAACCCCUUCCCACCAGACCUCAGAAAAAGGGAAUCGCCCUCCUCCCCAACGCUGUCGCGAAAAUAAUCUUGGGGGAACUAGGGACAGGGGGUUGGAGGUAGGAGGGAUAUAGCUUUAUAUGAGGCCCACUAAAAAACAGGCCCAGCAGGCGAUGCUUUUCCUUCCGCCUUUUGGAAAGCUCAGAUUGCUUAGUUGGAAACUGUGCACGUCUCCCUCGCACACACCGAUUCCAGUCCCAAGUAAGCAGAAGGGCCCUUUACCCGCUUCCGCGGACCAAGGUCACUAAACAAUGGCAUGCCAUCCCACAACAGCCGUCAGUCCUGCCCGCUCUAGAGGAUCUCCCUCGCCAACCUCCAGGGAGUUUCCAUUGGUUUUAUUUUUUUCGCCUGUCCUCGGUCCUGGGUGAUAGACUCUAGCAUGGAUUUUAAUUGUCGCAACCGAUAGUCUUUCUCCCCAGCCUUCACUCAGAACCUGGACGGUGGCUCUGGCGACCAAGAUCUUGAAAGAACAGGAAUGGUGCGCCCCCGGGGACCGCGCGGCUCAGUGGGCCGGCAUAAGGCUCUACUAAGGAGCUGAAAGCAGUCCAUCAGUGCGUUGGCACCUUUCCCCCACUGUCCCCUCCUCAAGCUCACGAGCAGCUCUAUUCCAGCCCUACCGCCGGGGCUAUCGAGGUCACAACGACCUCAGCAUCCUCUUGGAGAAGGCGGCGCGGGAACCGCGGCUUCUUUCCCGCAGCCGGAGCCACACCUCAAAUGAUAUGGCAAUGGACGCGAAUAUAUGACUCGCCACGGCCACCCUUCCUACCCAGCCAAGGUCUCUGUGAUCUGCCCCCGCCAGGCCAGCGCUGUCAGCCGCGUUAGCACUCUGGACAGCGCACCCGGCCCGCGGCCGCUGCCCUCUCCCCGCGCUCAGCAGGGGCUUGCCUGAGCGCCUCCCACGCACUCGCUCUGACUCCAGCUCGUGGGCAUUUCCUGCCUCACCCUCCCUCUCUCGUUUUUUCCCUCCGCCGCCCCCUCAUUCGUCCCUAUUGGUCUCCUUCAGAAUCACUCGGGCGCUCCGCGCUUUCCCAUCUUCUGGCUGCGGGGACCCAUCCGUCCCCUUCCCAAUUUAACCUCCUGUUUUCAGAGCGUUGCCACGUCUCCAAGCCCUAACCCCACACAUACACGCGCGCACGCAGACACGCACGCUUCCUGUCCCUGUGUGACACCCAUCUUCAACGGCGCGGUGCCCCCCUCUCGCCACACUCACACACGCACGCGCGCUCGGGCCGAGCAGAGGGCAGCUCGCCGACAGUUCGCACUCGGAGGAGACGCGCUCCGGUCUAGCAGCGCCGAUGGCAUCUCCGGGCUCCGGCUUUUGGUCCUUCGGGUCUGAAGAUGGCUGCGGGGACCCCGAGAACCCCGGCACAGCGAGAGCUUGGUGUCAGGUGGCCCAGAAGUUCACGGGCGGCAUCGGAAACAAGCUGUGCGCCCUGCUCUAUGGAGAUGCCGAGAAGCCAGGAGAGAGCGGCAGGAGC